This is a long non-coding RNA of Brassica napus (rape), 712 nucleotides long. RefSeq lists it as uncharacterized. The transcript is spliced from 3 exons. Lineage: Eukaryota; Viridiplantae; Streptophyta; Magnoliopsida; Brassicales; Brassicaceae. The record is from RefSeq and is a predicted model, not a curated record.
UAUGUCUGCUUCAUUGCUUAUUAACAACAUUUUCAUCAUCGCUCUUGGACAAUCUUUACCUUCUAAAUCAGAAAAUUCUUAAUAGUUUUAUCUUAUCCACGACAAUGGCAACUCGACGGCCCCACUUCUCUGAGCUAAAGGCUGGCCGCUGCAGUUAGAGUGUUAUCAUGAGGCUUCUUUGUUUCUGGGAAGCUCGAAACUUUAAGAAAGGUGGAGAGUUGCAGCCGUUGAUGUGGUACUGGUAGAUGAGAAGGUAACAACUCUUGGUCUUGAUUUCGCUUUGAUAACAUGCAUCCUUACGAAAUAAGCUGAUUACGUGUUAUGUUCAAGUGGGUUGCAGUACGCUUUCAUCCAUGCCUCAAUCAAUUUUCAUCGGCUCAUACUUUCAGAAACAUCCUGAAGGAAGGCGGGCUCUUUGACCUAAGUCUGUUUGAUGUAUCAAGGAGCAACCAAAGCUUUUGACUGUCAAAAUUCAAAUACAUAUCUACCAUUGCCUCUCAUGUUUUUCUGCGACACUUCCAGGUUCUAGCCACUCACAAUCUGUACGGACGUCACAGGAGCUUUGUUCGUUGGACGAGGAGUGCUGCUAUGUCGCAAGAUAGUGCAACUGCUGGCUCUGCUUCUGGAGCUAGACCAUUUUGCUCCCUUGAAGAGGCUUGAUGUACCGAUUACUGACUAGACAAAAUUCAAACGACAUACAAUGAAGAUACAC